This is a long non-coding RNA of Oncorhynchus keta (chum salmon), 4849 nucleotides long. RefSeq lists it as uncharacterized. The transcript has 3 exons. NCBI's taxonomy places the organism in Eukaryota, Metazoa, Chordata, Actinopteri, Salmoniformes, Salmonidae. The record is from RefSeq and is a predicted model, not a curated record.
CUCUCUCUCUCUCUCUCUCUUAUCUCCCGGGAAACCUGCUGCGCCCUGCGCUGUCCACACCAAGAUUAGAGGGAAGGACUGGCGCUGGGAGGAUUGUAACACCACGGUCUCCAGGCGCUCGGCACAUAACCAAUAUUCACCCAGAGGCCACAACUAUCGUUGCCGUUUCGACUGUAACACCAGUGUUGCGCUAGUGUAUAAUAUGUUAUAUACGUUAUGUUAUUCUAGGGAAAUUGUAUUUUCAUAGCUAGGGCUGACAGUGAAGACCUGCGAAGAGCAGAAUCACAACCUCUGCAUCAUCAAAACAGUUGCUUGGUGAGAAGCUGAGAAGUCCACAGAUAGUCAUUGUUAUGUAAACACCAGCUGAAAAGUACCAGCGGCCUGGCUUUGGCCCCAAGUGAGAGCAGGUCCACCAGAGCCAUGGCCCAGUGAGACACGGGUUCGGGCCCGCGUAGUUGGAAACAGAAAAGUCUGAGCCUUUUGGGUCAAACACUGGGGUAAAUCUUGAAUGUACAUGCGCCAUUGAUGUACCACUGAAUAUGCUUAAUAAGGAAGACUUGAGACUCGGAAGUGGUUCCUUACAAAAUGACUCAUCACAUUAUGAAAUGUGUGUAUGUGUGCACACAAACACACGUGUGAAGUACUCGAUCAGAGAAGUGUCAGCCUGGCAGCUUCACUAUACUACUAGAGAUGUCUGGAAUAACAGCAAACAAACUAUGCCAUACCAGCUACUAGCAGUGAAUAGCACAACUCCAGCGGGCUGAAUUGGGUGCAAAUGAUCUCCUUACAACCAGAUGAUGUCAUUGUAUCGGUGUCGUUUAUUUCCCCAAGUGUAAUUAUCAUUUAUUAUUUAUGCCUGCCUUGACCUCGAGCCUGCCUGCCUUGACCUCGAGCCUGCCUGCCUUGACCUCGAGCCUGCCUGCCUUGACCUCGAGCCUGCCUGCCUUGACCUCGAGCCUGCCUGCCUUGACCUCGAGCCUGCCUGCCUUGACCUCGAGCCUGCCUGCCUUGACCUCGAGCCUGCCUGCCUUGACCUCGAGCCUGCCUGCCUUGACCUCGAGCCUGCCUGCCUUGACCUCGAGCCUGCCUGCCUUGACCUCGAGCCUGCCUGCCUUGACCUCGAGCCUGCCUGCCUUGACCUCGAGCGUGCCUGCCGCCCUUUGGUAUCUACUGGACUCUGAACUGGUUUUGACCUUUUGCCUGUACACAACUAUUCUCUUGCCUACCCCUUUUUGGAUUAAUAAACAUCUAAGACUCCAACCAUCUGCAUCUGGGUCUCGCCUUGUGCCCUCAUAGUAUGUGAAUUUGUCGGGUCGGCCCACAAAGCUACGUACCAGACAUUUAUUAAAGAGCGUCUGAACGCAGCGAUUCUGUGUUUCUCUACUACUCAUUAAGAAAAACUAGACUUCAGUCUUGAGGGUGUGGUUCGAUGUGGCAGUUACUGAUGUUUGUCCCCCAUGAGACCAUAGGAAGAAAGCCGGUAUUACCUCCUCAAAGUAGUCAGAAGUCAUUUAAGAUUUUCAAAAAAAUGUAUGGUGUAAUUUUACAUCCGGCUAAGUUGUUCGGUGCAGUAUUUCUCAAGUUAAAAAAAGGUGUUGUCUUGUGUAAACAAAGUCAGAUUUGCUGCUCUGAUGGGCAGGUCUGCCUCACUGCAGUAUGUGUGUGAUCUGCGGUAGGAUUGGAUAGAUGUCUAUCUCGUGUCAAUGGUCAAAUGAGCAUCGUUGAAAUCCAAACCCAACCCUCAAGUAAGUCAUAUGAUGAACUCUAUUACAAAACUCAGGUUUGGAUGAGACCGACUUGAAAAACCAAACGAUCCUAUUUACACUUCGUAGUAAAUUUUGAAACUAGAAAAAAAAAAUCUGACUAGCAUGGAUGGCGCAUAGGCCGUUUGCUAUGAGAGAAGUUGCUUAUUGCCUUUAAAAACCCAGUCAGUAUCAUCACACUAUGGAAAUGACUGAUCAAGGGAUUGACUAUGAAUAAUCCCAAAUCAAAUCAAAUCGUAUUUGUUACGAACACAAUUGACAGCAGGUAUAAAAGGUGCAGCAAAAUGCUUGUGUUCUGGGUCCCUCAACAGUGCAGUAUAUUAAUCAUUUCGAGUUGAGGUACUAUGCAUAGUAAUAGCCUCAUCAUGUAUGUACACUAUAGGAUACAGUAUAGAUAAUGAUUUAACUCCCCAUCUCUGUGUCAUACUGAUUCCCCCUCUCUGACUUCACUCUUUAUUUCUCUCUUUCUAUUUCUCCGUAUGCUACACUUUCUAUUCCUUAACUCCGUCUUUCCUCUUCUCUCCCACUUCCGUGUUAAUCUCUCGCCCUUCUCCUUGCAGACUAGAUAAGGGGGGCCAGCCUGCUUCAAGGUGACGCAACAAAAAUCCAAUGAACUUAUCCUCUGCAGCAGAGGUAACUCUGAGUUUUCCUUUCCUGUGGCGGUCCUCAUGAGAGCCAGUUUCAUCAUAGCGCUUAAUGGUUUUUGCGACUGCACUUGGAGAAACUUUCAAAGUUCUUGAACAUUUCCUGAUUGACUGACCUUCAUGUCAUAAAGUAAUGAUGGGACUGUCAUUUCUCUUUGCUCCUUGCUCUUGCCAUAAUUUGGACUUGGUGUUUUACCAAAUAGGGCUAUCUUCUGUUUACCCCCCUACCUUGUCACAACACAACUAAUUGGCUCAAACAUAUUAAUAAAUAAAUAAAUUCCAUUAACAAGCUACACCUGUUAAUUGAAAUGCAUUCCAGGUGACUACCUCGUGAAGCUGGUUGAGAGAAUGCAAAGCUGUCAAAUGGUGGCUACUUUGAAGAAUCUCAAAUAUAAAAUAUGUUUUGAUUUGAUGAACACUUUAUUGGUUACUACAUGAUUCCAUAUGUGUUAUUUCAUCGUUUUGAUGUCUUUUUUGAUGUCAAUUUUAUUCUACAAUGUAGAAAAUAGUACAAAUAAAGAAAAACCCUGGAAUGAGUAGGUGUGUCAAAACAUUUGACUGGUACUGUCUAUAUUUGUCACACCCUGACCUUAGAGAGACGUAUUAUUUCUCUAUUUGGUUAGGUCAGGGUGUGAUGUUGGGUGGGCAUUCUAUGUUUUGUUAUCUAUGUUUCUUUAUUUCUUUGUUUUGGCCGGGUAUGGUUCUCAAUCAGGGACAGCUGUCUAUUGUAGUCUCUGAUUGGGAAUCAUACUUAGGUAGCACUUUUUCCCUCCUUUCAGUGUGGGUAGUUAACUUUGUUUGUGACACUUAGCCCUGAAAGCUUCACGGUUGUUUUUCAUUUGUUGUUUUGUUGGCGACAUUAUCUAAUAAAAAGGGAAAAGUACGCUCACAAUGCUGUGUUUUGGUCCACUUCUUUCGACGGCCGUGACAGUGUCUGUCCUCUACCCACCACCAAAGGACCAAGCAGCGUGGUCAGGAGGGGAGGACAUGACGGAAACCUGAGAGGCAGCCCCAAAAUAUUUUAUUUGGUGGGGAGUGGUUGGCAGUGGAGAGGGACGAAAGAGUUUGGAGGGGUUGGAGGCUGGAGCAAGACAGUCGCUUUGAGGAGCGUGUGACCCUUCAGACACCAUGCUUUGCGGUUACACGUCACCGGUACGCAUCCACAGCCCAGUACGUCCUAUGCCAACCACUAUGGCACGAAGCCUUCAGUGAUGAUCCAUGGCACGAAGCCUCCAGUGAUGAUCCAUGGCACGAAGCCUCCAGUGAUGAUCCAUGGCAUGAAGCCUCCAGUGAUGAUCCGUGGAAAGAAGCCUCCAGUGCAGAACCAUGGCAAGAAGCCUCCAGUGAUGAUCCAUGACACAAAGCCUCCAACGACGGCCUCCAGUCCGGAGCCUCCAACGACGGCCUCCAGUCCGGAGCCUCCAGCGAGGGUGCCCAGUCUGAGGUCGGCAGCGAGAGUCCCCACACCAGAGGCGCCACUAAAUCAGGGUGAGCCAGAGGUGGAGCGGGGUCUACGUCCCGCACCAGAGCCGCCACGGCGGAUAAAUGCCCACCCGGACCCUCCCCUAUAGGUUCAGGCUCAGGGGGGUGGGGUGCUGUCACGCCCUGACCUUAGAGAGCCGUUUUAUUUAUCUAUUUGGUUAGGUCAGGGUGUGAUGUGGGGUGGGCAUUCUAUGUUUUGUUUUCUUUAUUUCUAUGUUUUGGCUGGGUGUGCUUCUCAAUCAGGGACAGCUGUCUAUCAUUGUCUAUGAUCGGGAAUCAUACUUAGGUAGCCUUUUUUCCCUCCUUUCAGUGUGGGUAGUUAACUUUGUUUGUGGCACUUAGCCCUGAAAGCUUCACGGUUGUUUUCUCAUUUGUUGUUUUGUUGGCGUCAUUUUUAUAAUAAAAGGAAAAUUAACGCUCGCCACGCUGCACCUUGGUCCACUUCUUUCAACAGCAGUGACAAUAUUUCUAUAAAUAAUGGCCCUACAUUAAAAUUCCACAGAAAGACAAGUGUUAGAUCUUAUUGAAUCUGGCAGCUCCCUCUGCCUCUCUCUAGUCUCCACUAUGACCUCUAAAGAGUUACCCUCUAUGAACAGUGAAUGAAGCCCACCUUGUCCUCAUAGGGCUGACUCACUAUGCGUCAUCAACACUAUUCAUUUUACAGUGCACUACUUUAGACCAGGCUGUGGGAAUAGGGUGCUAUUUGGGACGCGGACAGAGUCUGCUACCAUGGUUCCUCUCAGAGUUGUUCUGAUUGGCCAGGUUCAGACAGUGCAAUGACACCAUUUUCAGUUUUUCACUCUAUUACACAGAGCCAAACAACACCGAGCUCACUUGGGUAUUUACUUACCAUACUGUCCUUUCCAGCACGGUCCCAGCAACUAUGGUGGAUGGGUAACCAUGCCAGUUUGGCUCAGUUCAACUCUGCUCUGUAGUGUGAAAAUGGUAUAAGUGAGACGG